RNAcentral lists this ribosomal RNA (424 nucleotides) under uncultured bacterium. RNAcentral's name for it is "bacterial SSU rRNA". It matches the Rfam family "Bacterial small subunit ribosomal RNA", at positions 355 to 771 of the family's 1533-position model. The record is from RNAcentral.
UGGGGAAUUUUGGACAAUGGGCGCAAGCCUGAUCCAGCCAUGCCGCGUGGGUGAAGAAGGCCUUCGGGUUGUAAAGCCCUUUCGGCUGGGACGAAAAGGUCCGCGCCAACACCGCGGAUCCAUGACGGUACCAGCAGAAGAAGCACCGGCUAACUACGUGCCAGCAGCCGCGGUAAUACGUAGGGUGCAGGCGUUAAUCGGAAUUACUGGGCGUAAAGCGUGCGCAGGCGGUUUGCUAAGACAGGUGUGAAAUCCCCGGGCUUAACCUGGGAACUGCGCUUGUAACUGGCAGGCUGGAGUGUGGCAGAGGGGGGUGGAAUUCCACGUGUAGCAGUGAAAUGCGUAGAGAUGUGGAGGAACACCGAUGGCGAAGGCAGCCCCCUGGGCUAACACUGACGCUCAUGCACGAAAGCGUGGGGAGCAA